GUAGCGUGAAGGAUGACUGCCCUAUGGGUUGUAAACUUCUUUUAUAUGGGAAUAAAGUGAGCCACGUGUGGCUUUUUGUAUGUACCAUACGAAUAAGGAUCGGCUAACUCCGUGCCAGCAGCCGCGGUAAUACGGAGGAUCCAAGCGUUAUCCGGAUUUAUUGGGUUUAAAGGGAGCGUAGGCGGAUUAUUAAGUCAGUUGUGAAAGUUUGCGGCUCAACCGUAAAAUUGCAGUUGAUACUGGUAGUCUUGAGUGCAGCAGAGGUAGGCGGAAUUCGUGGUGUAGCGGUGAAAUGCUUAGAUAUCACGAAGAACUCCGAUUGCGAAGGCAGCUUACUGGACUGUAACUGACGCUGAUGCUCGAAAGUGUGGGUAUCAAACAGGAUUAGAUACCCUGGUAGUCCACACAGUAAACGAUGAAUACUCGCUGUUUGCGAUAUACAGCAAGCGGCCAAGCGAAAGCAUUAAGUAUUCCACCUGGGGAGUACG
RNAcentral lists this ribosomal RNA (488 nucleotides) under uncultured bacterium. RNAcentral's name for it is "bacterial SSU rRNA". It matches the Rfam family "Bacterial small subunit ribosomal RNA", at positions 396 to 884 of the family's 1533-position model. The record is from RNAcentral.